RNAcentral lists this long non-coding RNA (984 nucleotides) under Homo sapiens (human). RNAcentral's name for it is "HSALNT0116842". Lineage: Eukaryota; Metazoa; Chordata; Mammalia; Primates; Hominidae. The record is from RNAcentral.
CUCUUGUGCUUACACGUACAUUUCCAGCUCAGUUCUCAGUAAAACUGAAGUUUCUGCCAAGGAAAAUGUCCCGUGAACCACCAAUGCCUAUGGACGGUUUUCACACUGGAGCUUCCUAACCAGCUGACCUCUUAAGAGAGGGCUGUUACAACAGGUGACACAGGAAACUCAGGUGAGGGUGUGGAGAGACAGGAACUCAGGUGAGAGGUGGAGAGACAGGAACUCAGGUGAGAGAUGAUGGAGAGACAGGAAUUCAGGUGAGAGUUGGAGAGACAGGAACUCAGGUGAGAGUUGGAGAGACAGGAACUCAGGCGAGAGGUGGAGAGACAGGAACUCAGGUGAGAGAUGGUGGAAAGACAGGAACUCAGGCGAGAGGUGGAGAGACAGGAACUCAGGUGAGAGUUGGAGAGACAGGAACUCAGGCGAGAGGUGGAGAGACAGGAACUCAGGUGAGAGAUGGUGGAAAGACAGGAACUCAGGCGAGAGGUGGAGAGACAGGAACUCAGGCGAGAGGUGGAGAGACAGGAACUCAGGUGAGAGAUGAUGGAGAGACAGGAAUUCAGGUGAGAGUUGGAGAGACAGGAACUCAGGCGAGAGGUGGAGAGACAGGAACUCAAGUGAGAGAUGGUGGAGAGAUAGGAACUCAGGCGAGAGGUGGAGAGACAGGAACUCAAGUGAGAGAUGGUGGAGAGACAGGAACUCAGGCGAGAGGUGGAGAGACAGGAACUCAGGUGAGAGAUGGUGGAGAGACAGGAACUCAGGCGAGAGGUGGAGAGACAGGAACUCAGGUGAGAGAUGGUGGAGAGAUAGGAACUCAGGCGAGAGGUGGAGAGACAGGAACUCAGGUGAGAGAUGGUGGAGAGACAGGAACUCAGGCGAGAGGUGGAGAGACAGGAACUCAGCUGCUGCUUCUGAGCCAGCUUCCCAGGCCUCGGAUAGACCAGAGUUCGCUCAUCAUGCCGUCUCUUCAGUGACUGAUUACGC